This is a long non-coding RNA of Salvelinus fontinalis (brook trout), 223 nucleotides long. RefSeq lists it as uncharacterized. NCBI's taxonomy places the organism in Eukaryota, Metazoa, Chordata, Actinopteri, Salmoniformes, Salmonidae. The record is from RefSeq and is a predicted model, not a curated record. The transcript is spliced from 3 exons.
AAUAUAACAUUACAGACAGUACACCCUAUAAUACUGAUAUUAUUAGCAGGGGAAAAAAUUUAACAGGGACUAAGAAUAAAGUGGACAGGUUUUAGUCAGAUUAAAACAGGGACUAAGAAUAAAGUGGACAGGUUUUAGUCAGAUUAAAACAGGGACUAAGAAUAAAGUGGACAGGUUUCUAGCAUCCAGGGAGGAUGUUUUAGUCAGAUUAAAACAGGGACUA